AGUGAACGCUGGCGGUAGGCCUAACACAUGCAAGUCGAACGGCAGCACAGUAAGAGCUUGCUCUUACGGGUGGCGAGUGGCGGACGGGUGAGGAAUACAUCGGAAUCUACUUUUUCGUGGGGGAUAACGUAGGGAAACUUACGCUAAUACCGCAUACGACCUACGGGUGAAAGCAGGGGAUCUUCGGACCUUGCGCGAUUGAAUGAGCCGAUGUCGGAUUAGCUAGUUGGCGGGGUAAAGGCCCACCAAGGCGACGAUCCGUAGCUGGUCUGAGAGGAUGAUCAGACACACUGGAAAUGAGACACGGUCCAGACUCCUACGGGAGGCAGCAGUGGGGAAUAUUGGACAAAGGGCGCAAGCCUGAUCCAGCCAUACCGCGUGGGUGAAGAAGGCCUUCGGGUUGUAAAGCCCUUUUGUUGGGAAAGAAAAGCAGCAGGUUAAUACCCCGCUGUUCUGACGGUACCCAAAGAAUAAGCACCGGCUAACUUCGUG
This 492-nucleotide ribosomal RNA is filed under the name uncultured bacterium. RNAcentral describes it as "partial 16S ribosomal RNA". It matches the Rfam family "Bacterial small subunit ribosomal RNA", at positions 29 to 507 of the family's 1533-position model. The record is from RNAcentral.